GCUAANGCGUGAAGUAGACCGCNUGGGGAGUACGGUCGCAAGANUNNAACUCAAAGGAAUUGACGGGGNCCCGCACAAGCGGUGGAUGAUGUGGAUUAAUUCGAUGCAACGCGAAAAACCUUACCUACCCUUGACAUGGAAGGAAUCCUGAAGAGAUUUUGGAGUGCCCGAAAGGGAACCUUCACACAGGUGCUGCAUGGCUGUCGUCAGCUCGUGUCGUGAGAUGUUGGGUUAAGUCCCGCAACGAGCGCAACCCUUGUCAUUAGCUGCUACGCAAGAGCACUCUAAUGAGACUGCCGGUGACAAACCGGAGGAAGGUGGGGAUGACGUCAAGUCCUCAUGGCCCUUAUGGGUAGGGCUUCACACGUCAUACAAUGGUACAUACAGAGGGCCGCCAACCCGCGAGGGGGAGCUAAUCCCAGAAAGUGUAUCGUAGUCCGGAUUGUAGUCUGCAACUCGACUACAUGAAGUUGGAAUCGCUAGUAAUCGCGGAUCAGCAUGUCGCGGUGAAUACGUUCNCGGGNNNUGUACACACCCGCCCCGUCCACAACCAUGGGGAGCCGGGUUUUUACCCAAGAAG
RNAcentral lists this ribosomal RNA (580 nucleotides) under uncultured beta proteobacterium. RNAcentral describes it as "bacterial SSU rRNA". It matches the Rfam family "Bacterial small subunit ribosomal RNA", at positions 851 to 1533 of the family's 1533-position model. Lineage: Bacteria; Pseudomonadati; Pseudomonadota; Betaproteobacteria. The record is from RNAcentral.